UUUCAAAAUUGUGCUUGACAGCGUGCGUUCAUAUUUUUGUGUGUUAAUUUUCAGUUCCCAAUUUUUUUUGGUUUAAUCAAUUAAAACAAAAGUGAAUCAAAAUGGUGAAAAAGAAAAUUGAUAACCGCAUACGCGUGAUGAUUGAGAAUGGUGUGAAGCUGGGCCAUCGCACCAUGUUCAUCGUCAUUGGCGAUAAAGCACGCGAUCAAGUGCCAAUUCUCUACGAUAUAUUGACCAAGUCGACGGUCAAGGCGCGUCCCACGGUGCUGUGGUGCUACAAGAACAAGGACGAAGCUAUUUCCAAUCACGGCAAGAAGCGUGCUAAGAAGAUUGCAACCGGCAAAGUCGAUGUCAAUGAGGCAGACAUGUUUGAUGCCUUUCGCGUGGCCACCACCAUCCAUGGUCGCUACUACUCCGACACACACACCAUUCUGGGACGCACCUAUGGCGUCUGUGUACUGCAGGACUUUGAGGCAUUGACUCCCAAUCUUCUUGCACGCACCGUGGAAACCGUCGAGGGUGGCGGCCUGAUUAUUCUGUUGCUGAAGUCGCUGCAGUCGCUGAAGCAGCUCUACACCAUGAGCAUGGAUGUACACAAACGUUUCCGCACUGAGGCCCAUCAGACAGUCACCUGCCGCUUCAACGAGCGCUUGAUUCUAUCGCUGGCCGAUUGCAAGCGCUGUCUGGUGGUCAACGAUGACCUCACCGUGCUGCCCCUCAGCUCCAAGACCAUCAACGUGGACCCAGUGAAUCCCGGCAGCAUUGGAAAGUCGGAGAACGAGAGCAGCUUGAAGGACCUAAAGGAGAGCCUGCUAAAUGUGCAGCCAGCUGGCGCACUGGUCAAUCUCUGCAAGACAUACGACCAGGGCAAUGCAGUGGCCCAGUUCAUCGAAGCUCUGGUGGACAAGCAACUGAAGCCACCCAUGUCACUGACAGCGGCACGUGGACGCGGCAAAUCUGCCGCUUUGGGACUCUCCAUUGCCGCAGCUGUGGCAUUUGGCUAUGUCAAUGUGUACGUGACAUCGCCGCAUCCGGAGAACUUGAUUACGCUCUUUGAGUUCGUGUUGAAGGGCUUCGAUGCGCUGGAGUAUCAGGAGCAUGCCGAUUACACCAUCAUACGCAGCACCAAUGAGGACUACAAGAAGGCCAUCAUACGCAUCAAUAUAACGCGUAACAGUCGCCAGACUAUACAGUAUAUUGCACCCAAUGACACACAUCUGUUGAGUGCCGCCGAUCUGCUGUUGAUCGAUGAGGCGGCUGCCAUUCCGCUGCCGCUUGUUAAGAAAAUGAUGGGUCCAUAUUUGAUCUUCAUGGCUAGUACAAUCAAUGGCUACGAGGGCACUGGACGUUCGCUCAGCUUGAAGCUCAUUUCGCAGCUGCAAAAGGAGAACAAUGCACGUCCGCCGCUCAAGCUGGAUGAAUCGAUUCGUUAUCAGUCCAACGAUGACAUCGAGCGUUGGCUGAUCAAUCUGCUCUGCCUGGAUGCGAGCAGUGUGCCGGCCAUUAGCUCCGGUUGUCCGACUCCCGCUGCCUGUGAUUUGUAUUACAUUGAUCGCGAUGCCUUGUUCUCGUAUCACAAGGCAACUGAAGCGUUCCUGCAGCGCCUGGUCUCGAUUUAUGUGUCUUCGCACUACAAGAACACACCCAACGAUCUGCAGAUGAUGAGCGACGCCCCCGCCCAUCAUUUGUUCUGUCUGCUUGGACCGAUAGAGCGCAAGGAUGCACUGCCCGAGAUCCUUGUUGUUGUCCAGGUCGCACUCGAGGGUCAAAUCUCCUCACAGAGCAUUAGCGAGUCAAUGGGACGCGGCAAGAAGGCUGCCGGCGAUCUGAUACCCUGGAAUGUGGCCGAACAGUUUGGCGAUCGUGACUUCCCCAAGUUGUCCGGUGUGCGAAUCGUGCGCGUCGCCACCAAUCCCAGUUACCAACGCAUGGGCUACGGCAAGCGUGCUAUUCAACAGCUCAAGGAAUACUAUGAACGUCGCCAUGUCGAUCUGUCGAUAGAAGGCGAUACGCGCAACAGAGCUGGCAUUGAGGAAGUGGAGGAGGAGGAGCUCAGUCUGCUCAAGGAGCAGAUUCGUCCUCGCGCGCAGAUUCCCACACUGCUGCAACGUCUGAAGGAGCGUUCGCCGGAACCCGUUGACUACAUUGGCACCUCCUUUGGCCUGACCGGUGAGCUGCUCAAGUUCUGGAAGAACUGUGGCUUUGUCCCCGUCUAUCUCAGCCAGAAGUCGAAUGAGCUGACCGCCGAGCACAGCUGCAUCAUGCUGCACACAUUGGAGACAAGCGCCACCGUUGACUGGUUGCCAUCCUACUAUAAGGACUUUCGACGUCGCGUCCUUCGUUUGAUGGGCAAAACAUUCAGAGAGUUCGACACCAAAGUCUGUCUGUCGUUGCUCAGUAACUCGCCGGUGACGAUUCCUGACUGCCCUCAGCUGGACAAGCACAUGCUUGACGUGUACUUCCUGCCACACGAUCUGCAACGCCUCGAGAGCUAUGCUCGCCAACAGUCCGAAUUCCGUCUGAUUAUCGAUCUGCUAACAGACAUUGCCCAGCUGUAUUUCCAGGGCUCAAUACAGACACUGAAGCUUGACAAUGUGCAGAAGAAUAUUCUAAUGGGAUUGGCCAUUCAGGGCAAGUCGGUGGAUGCCUUGGGCGCGGAGAUCAAUAUGCCGGGCAAACAGGUGCUGGCCAAAUUCUAUGAAGGCAUGAGAAAGUGCUAUGAUUGCAUCCGCAAUGUCAUCGAGGAACACAUCGAAGGUGGUAUGCUGCAGGAGGCGGAAUUGCCGCGUGGCGAACAGCUGCAACCGAUGUCGCUGACCAUUGACCAAGAGCUCGAAAGCUCCGCUCAAAAGAUAACCAAGAAGCAAAAGAAGGAGCUGAAACGUCUGCUGGACGAGCAGAAUGGCGAUGCGACAGACGAUAUCAAGGUUAGCAAACAGGCUAAAUUAUCGAAAACGCCGCGCAAGGAGCAAAAGGAGGACAACAAAAAAAUUCAGGUUAGCGAGCAUAAAAAGGCGGCAAUGGCGAGAUUAGGAAUCACCGCCGAGGAAUAUAAAAAAUUUUUUGGAUUUAAAAGUGAUGCUGAACGUUUGGAAAUUCUAAAAAGCAACGAGGCGUACUUUAAGAGGCCAGAAGAGCAACCGUAUGUGAGGCCUAGCAAGAUAGUACAUCCAAUAUAUAGAAACCAGAAGGAUUAUGAGAAAAAGCUGCAAUUACGAAUAGCCUUUGCAUACAGAGAACGACUUUUAAAUAAGUCAAAGGGAUAUCAGGAAAAACAAAUAAUUAUGUAUAAUGAAAGUAAGGAUUAGCGCAAGAUUAACAAGAAUCAACACACACUCAAAGAAGAAAUCAAGAAGAAGUAACUGAAGAAAGAACCUUUUUUGAAGAAUAUUGAAGAAAAAAAUAUAAAUUUAUCAAGAACCUUGCUGCCGGUUACGUACUAGAUCAGUUAGAAUCCAGCUAUAACAGAAAAAUUUAAAGAUGAAAGAAGAAAAAUAUUUGUGAAGAAUGCAAAACUCCGCGUCUGUUCUUCGCAAGGAGCAACGGAAAAGUCUUCAAGCCAGCAGCUAAUCAAGGAUACAGAGAAGAGAGGGUCUUGUAAUGUAGUUCUUCUAUUUUAUUAUAUAAGAUUGUUUUUUCUUUUUAUGUAAGUUGCUUAAAUAUAAAGCAAAAAAAAAGAGAAGCGAAUUAAGCGUAAGACUAUAUUUU
Drosophila albomicans is the source of this 3708-nucleotide RNA transcript. It is a transcript of the gene named RNA cytidine acetyltransferase, with no coding region annotated. The record is from RefSeq and is a predicted model, not a curated record. The transcript is spliced from 5 exons. Lineage: Eukaryota; Metazoa; Arthropoda; Insecta; Diptera; Drosophilidae.